This 1787-nucleotide long non-coding RNA is filed under the name Triticum aestivum (bread wheat). RNAcentral describes it as "long non-coding RNA (TAES_LNC007886)". The record is from RNAcentral. Lineage: Eukaryota; Viridiplantae; Streptophyta; Magnoliopsida; Poales; Poaceae.
UACAUUUGAGUGAUGGGGCUCCAAUAUCAAAAUAGGAACACAACCAAUUAUGAUCAUUGGAGCAAAAGAAAACCCAUCCUUUUCUAUCCUUGGAGCGAGUUCCAAACAUUUAUCUCAAGGCGAUAGGCUGAAAAUAGCAUGAUGAUAUACAUAAAUAAGCACCAAGAUCCAAAUUAUCAUGUUAGAUGGAAUUCAUUUGCAACAAAAAUAAAUUACACAUGACAAUUGAUAAGAUACAUUAAGGAAAUUAAAAUAAAGAAUGGCAAUUUUGUGGUUUAAGAUCUCAAACGUGAUGAAUUCCUUUUUAUAGAUAUUGGACUAUCAUGAACACAAAUAGCAUGAAGUCGGGAAAUUAGAUACUACAUGCAAAUUAACUUCCCAUCUAUCUUGAUCAAUGUCCUUAUGAUCCUUGAAUUGGUGCGUAUACCAUAGAAGUUUAUCCCAACAAUAUUCACUUGGAAAAUAACACUACCUGAUUAGCAAAUGAGUCGUCUCUAUCAUUGUGUUGGAGCAAACAUGCUUCCCUAAAAUAAUAUCAUGUCUUUGGAAAGUUCAUCAAAUGCAGCUAGAGAUUGUACUAACAUUGAAGCAAUGUGUCAAUGUCAUGUCCUAGUGGUGAACCUCCCAGUAUUCUUGUCUACUGUUACAUGUUUUCUUCAUAUAAAACAUACUUUCUCCACGGCAAAGGUCAAAUAAUAUGGAGACCAUAAUGGAAGCUUUCCCGUCCACUGAUACACGUACUAUGAAGAAUGAGAUGAAUAUAUUCUCUAAUCUCCUGAAUAAACCAUGAUAUUAUCCCUAUAACACAAAAGACAAUAGAAAAGUUGUAUAAACAUUUACUUAUGACCCACGAGCAAGGCGGAGAAGUGCAUAUCCAUCUUAUUAUGAUGUAUGAAGCAAUAUAAUCAUUGUCGACUUAGAAUCAAUAUAAAUGCAGAUAGCUUACACCUAGAUGAAAUCAAUUAGUAGUUCAACGUACACAAAUGCAGAACACUUGAGGACAAACAUAAUCAGCAUGGAUUAAUUUAUUUGGAUUCAUAACCAAAAUACAUAAGCAACAGAACACACGUAGAUAUAAGACCCAGCACAGCUUAGUGAAAGGAGAUGAGUGGCAACUACAAAAAAAUAUAAUAAAAUGCUUGGAACUUCAAGUGAGUACAUACCAUAGAUAACACGUGCUGCUGAUGAUAUAUUCUAUAUCUACUUUUCUCUAGAAAGGAGUAAAUCUUGGGCGGAACAUCCAUCCAUCCAGAUAAAAUAGUCAAUAGAGGACUAACAUCCUGAUGACCAAAGUCCAAUGGUGAGUUGGGGUGUGACGACCAAUUUGAUGUUGGGUGAUUACUACCAAACACAGAAUAGACACCAAUCGCCAGUGCCACCGAUCGGGAUAGGAUGCAAGGGUUCACUUUCAUAAUUUUGAAACCACGCACGCAAAGAAAAAACUCUAAAUCUGGAUUCCCAACUUAUAAACAGAGGGUCCUCCCACCUUCCACAUGAGCGAUGACGGGCUGAUGGCACCGCCGUCGACUUCUCUGCACAGUACCUGCAAAACAAAAGAGAGGCGAAUCCCAGAUCCUUUUACUUCUCGUGUGGUGCUGCAGUGCCUACUAAUUAAUCAAUCAAGCAGCUACAUGUAGUGGAGCCGUGGAGUUGCGCUUGGAUGAUUGGAUUAGCUAUGUACGUACCUAGCUGGAUUGAAGCUGCUGACCUUCUCGAGCAUGACGUAGGACAUGUCCUUGAGCCUCUUGACUUUCGGCGCGUCCAUAGCCUGGAUCUGCGGCGACGGG